CUUAUCUUUUGCGAGCUUGCGGCCCGGUCCCAUUACAGUUACAUGUCCCGUAAUCCGCGGGCAGAGUUUUACCAAGGGCAUCAGAGCCAGCCCCGACAAACAAGGCGAAACGCGCACUGCAAUAUGUGAAUGUGAACAACGAGUACGAAAACACACAGAACGGUUGGUAUAAAGGUGAUGCAAGGGCCACAAGUGGCGGCAGUCCAAGGCAAGGCAUGAAAUCCACAUGGUAACGUGGGGCGGAGGCAGAGUCGGGGUGAAUAAGCACCCUUUAGAAACGAUUAAGGCCACCCCUCUAGGGUCAAUCAAUAUUUGAUUGUCAUGCGUUAAGGUGCCCUGUCAUCAGCAAAAUGCACUCGAAGUCCACAUUAUCAGCUGUGUGUAUGCAUCGCCAAUAUACUGCAUGUACUAGAUGCAGUAUACAUGCAAACUACUGCAUGUUUUCUCUGUCAGCCCAUGCGACUCAUUUUAAGGUAUUGGUGGGAAAACUUUCCAUUUAAAUAUAUACAUACAAGGUAUUGCUUUAGUUUUACGUUCGUUCCCCUCGUGCUACUUAUGCAAACCAGCCGUUCUAUACAUACAUAUGUAUAUGUAUUCCUCCACUGCUUCUCACAACAAUUACAGCGUGUCGCUUUUGAGAGCUCGCCAGAAUAGAAUGAAAAUAAAUUAGACAUUUAGUAAUGGGUAUUUUGUUUACAACUUUGUGCUUUUUACUUGAAAUGUUUAUAUGAAUUGCAUUGGAAUUCUUGAUUCUUCAAUGUGCUUGUACUAGAGAUACAUAAAUACAUAUAGAAUGUUGUACAAUGCAAUGCUGGCAAACAGUGAAGAUCGACAAGUCUGAAGUGUCUUGUGUACGAUAUUGUAUAUAUUUUCAAUAAAAUUGUUUUCAACAGGUUCUACUCAACAACAAACACUACACUACAAACAAUAUUCAUUUAUGCAUAACUUAUGCAUGUAUGUGAGGAUAUGCAAGUGGUUAAUCAAUAUAAUAUUUGUCUAAUUUUCUGAUACUCAUUUCAUCGAACUUUCAUUUUCGCAGGGGUAUUGAGGAAUUCCUGGCAGGCAAAUCAACAAAUAAACAACUCAAAAGAUUGCACAAAACACUUGCAUGGAACUUGCAAUUACAAAUAAUACUGGACCGAACAUCAUGGAGAUGUUCAAAACCAAUUGUUUCUCUCUUCGUUUAUAUGUACAGAUGUGCAUAUGAACGUUUUGCAUAAACGUAAUUUUAAAAUUAAUUUAUUAAUUAGUUUAAAGCAAGGAUAAAGUUUACAUUAUUUGUAAAAAUAUUAAUGGCAGAAUAUUUUCAAAAUCUCGGGCUCUCUUCAUUAGUUCACGCUCAGGUUCACUUUUUCAGUUUUUGUUUCUGUUCUGUUUCCCUCCUACACUUCUUAAAUGCUAACCACACGCUACUCGUGCUCUCUGCUUUUUGUC
Drosophila miranda is the source of this 1434-nucleotide long non-coding RNA. RefSeq lists it as uncharacterized. The record is from RefSeq and is a predicted model, not a curated record. NCBI's taxonomy places the organism in Eukaryota, Metazoa, Arthropoda, Insecta, Diptera, Drosophilidae. The transcript is spliced from 2 exons.